Peromyscus maniculatus bairdii (prairie deer mouse) is the source of this 3542-nucleotide long non-coding RNA. RefSeq lists it as uncharacterized. Lineage: Eukaryota; Metazoa; Chordata; Mammalia; Rodentia; Cricetidae. The record is from RefSeq and is a predicted model, not a curated record.
UGCCCUCCGAUCCCACAAGUGACUUUCCACGAGCUGCUCGUACACUCUGUGAGCCUGAUGUCCUCAUCAGCAACACAGACUUAACGAUCCUUAUUUCACAGGAUCCGGUUUUGUUCUUGUUUGUUUUCAAGGGAGAAGAAAGCCUGCGAUGCCCACUCGGGAAGGGCAACUGCUUUUCAGGAAACCGGGGCCCGCUUUCAGGGGCAACCCAUUACAUCACAAUGGCCCCCAGAAUUGUCACAAUGGCAUGUGUGAACAGGAAGGGUGCCAGGAGCAGAUGAGACACGGGAAGAGGAAGUGAUGAAGCAGUGCGUUCUCUUACUAACAACCACUGUGUGUCCGAGGGAAACCACAGUGAAGGAUAAGAAGAGGCCAGGAAGAGGACAGAGUUAUGUCCAGUGUUCCUCUGUGUUUGUGAAUGGCACCGCCCCACACCCUUUCCCCCAAAUAUCUAAGGCGUGUGCUGUGUUACACACUCAAGCUCAUGUGAGCUGGAAGAGGCUUCAUCUGUGACCCCAGCACCCAAAAUUCCUCCUUAUUCCAGAGGCUUUCUGGGGACAAUCUUGGUCUCUUUUCGUGAAAAUGUAUUUUCCAGACUAUUUCAGAAUUCCCUUUUACAAGAAAGGAGUGUGGACUACAAUUACAAAUGCUUCAGCCCUUCCCACCUGAUAAUGAACUCGGCUUCAUGUGCAGAUCUGUGCUGUUCACUUUGUUCCAAAGGCAGACCAACUACAAAUAAGAUGUCAUCACUCAACAGCAAGGAAGAGCUUGAAGGAAGGGAAACCACAGCAUUGCAUCAGAAGGGCCACAAAUAGCGCUUUAAAUAGCACACCAGAUCGUGGAGAACUUUCUGGAAUAGUCCCAGGCAAGCUUCCCAUCUGGGCUUGUUGGUACAGACUUUCAGCAUUGUCUACAGUGUCCUUGGGCCAUACAGCUUCAGUUUGGGGGCUGCAAUUCUCUUUGGAAGAAGUCACUCUGACAUCAGCCUGUGAAAAGAGAACAGCUUGAUUUCCACUGGCUUGCUUGUGGAAGACACAUCUAAGCAUCAGUUGCUGCAAUCUUCUCCAAAGGAUGAUAAGCUCUAGACUUGAGGAAGGCUGAUAUGAUGUGGACCACUUCAACCAAGUGUAAUUUUUCCCUGUCUCUACAGUCAGAUCAGAUAACCACAUGCUUUUCAUAAAUACCCCACUGCCUGGCUUCCCUCCUUACUUUUGACUAGCCUCUUGGCCCCCUUGGAUUCUGACCACCUGCUCCCCAUUUCAGCUUGAAGCAGCUAUAGAAGAGUGUCAUCCCUGCUCCCUCCAAACAAACAAACAAGCAAACAAACAAACAAACAGGCUAAAGAGGUAUGUCAAAGGAAAACUCCUGGCAUUGGGGACAAAUUGUCUACCUAAUGCCCAUUGAUAUACCAGGAAACUGGAUCCAAUAUUGUCAAUUGAUAGAUUUAUCAACUAAAAUGGUUCUGCAGUAGGAUAAGACACUUGACCUUUAUGCAGAACAAAAGAGAUAUUAUAUGACCUUAAGAAAUAAUUGUUUCUAUAUAAAUCAUUCAGGAUUAUAAUCUGGCUGUACUCAAAGAUCAAAACUACAGGGAUAAGCUUUACUUAGUCUCUUGCACAUGUUUCCAGGGUUGAGCUUAAAACAAAACUAGAAACAAAGUUUAUCUAUUUAGAUAUACCCGGACAGUCUUCAGAUACUUCAGAGAUCUGCAGAAUAUGGCAUCUAAAAUGUUUAAUUAAAAAGCUUUUCAUGAUAGAGGGACAUGCUGGAUCCUGGCAGGACCUUUAUAUCCUCCAAAGAAGAAGGCUGGGCACAGAAGAACCUCCACCCAGAACUUGCUCCAGAGUGGCAGCAUCAGCCACUGAGAUGGGCACAGAAGAACCUCAACUGCUGCCAGGGCCUUCUGCAGACCAUGGACAACAGGACUCCAGGAAUCCAUUGCCUCACUUUUGCCUAGACAAAGUAGGCUGGUCCUUCCCACAAGUGCCUAUCCCACAACCAUCAGAUCUUCUGAGGCCUGGCAGCAAAAGAAUGAUGUUGUUGACCUGAGAACUCUGCCCUCAAUGACCAUGGAAGACCCUGGGGUGGUUAUCUAGGUAGCCAACAAGUAAGUCUCUGUCACUUUCAAUUGCUAACUCAGGUAAAAUUUAUCCUUCUCAGAGCUCUGAUUCCAUUGGAUGACCAGGCUUUGCUUCAGCUGCCUUCUCAAUUCUCUAUGUAAAAUUCAUAGAUCUCCCUGUCCUAGGGCUGCUACGAGGUCUAGACACAAUUUACCUUGUUAUCAGAUCAGAUAAACUCACAGAACAAAUUUUAAUAUAACGUUUUACUAUUGACUGCUCUUGGUAUCCUCUGGAGAAUCUGAUAAAGAAAUAGCUUCAAGGUUUAUUUAUAUGAAGACAGAAAAGCUGUCUCAGUUCUGUUCACUCUGAUGAUGUUUAGGAAAGCCUCCCUCCUCCUUCACUCACUCAACCACUUCCACUCAGUAAAUUUCCUCUGGAUAUAGAUUUAAAGAUAAGUUUCAUCGGGCUGAAGCCAGAAAAUGUUCAUGCCUUUUAACCUAAAGCCAUAGCCUUUUGCUAUGACACCAGGAUGUAAAUCCAUUCUAGCUGUCUGACAGAUACCUGAAGGCUCCUAGGAAAAGUUCUGCUUCUAUGUCAAGAAAUCUGGUCUGACAAAAACUUAACAGUCUCCAGAGCCCAUUUUAACCCCACCCACACAUUUUUGAGCAUAUUUUGCAAUUUCACUCCUGCCUGGGCCAAGGCCAACCCAUAAAGUGUCCUCCAGAUACACCACCUCCUGCACCAGCUCUGAGGAUGCCAACCACCAACCAAGGACGCCAACUGGGAUGGAUGCACCCCCACCUCCAGAGAAACAACAGAUGUGAUGUCUCAUAUACUCCUAAAGAACACAUCAUUCCUCAAUUAACUGCCGGUACCACCUUUUCAGGCUCAAGCAGGCACCUACCCAGCAAGCAGAGCCUGGUUUUCCAAGUUGUCUCAAUAAAGGGCAUAGUUGUUCUCAUGUCUCACUCAUUCACCCUUGGCUCUUCCGUACAACCAGGGCAUUUCUGUAUUCCAUUCUUUCUGGCAGUUAUCACUCUCCCCAUGGCUAGCCCAGCUCAUAAGUCCAGUGAUAAUCUGUUUUUUUCCUCCUAGCAACCUGCCUGCUCAGCUCCUUCAAGGAACAGAUGCCUGAGAUUUCCACACCUGAGAUCUUCACAAUGACAUCAACUAAAUCCUUCUUCACUCAUACCUCCUGCCAGGCGUGUGACCCUGAACUCCCAAUUUCCCCCUCCCACUUUAUCCAAUAUCAGCAGGAAGCAGUCUCAAGAAUUCAGUGCCUUUAUUCCCCCACUUGCUAUCCAUAACUCUUCUUUUUAUAAUAAUCACAAUGGAGGAGUGCUGGCAUUCUGGCCCACCCCUUGGGGACCCACCCUGCAUCCUGCUGUAAAGUCUCCUUUAAAAAAAAAAAGACUCCCCCUCCCCCUCUCUCUUUCCUUUCAUUCCUACUAGGUGUGCAUCUUCCCCCCCUUUUCCUUUCCC